RNAcentral lists this ribosomal RNA (1344 nucleotides) under uncultured bacterium. RNAcentral's name for it is "16S ribosomal RNA". It matches the Rfam family "Bacterial small subunit ribosomal RNA", at positions 28 to 1378 of the family's 1533-position model. The record is from RNAcentral.
GACGAACGCUGGCGGCGUGCUUAACACAUGCAAGUCGAACGGAAAGGCCCUGCUUUUGUGGGGUGCUCGAGUGGCGAACGGGUGAGUAACACGUGAGCAACCUGCCCUUGACUUUGGGAUAACUUCAGGAAACUGGGGCUAAUACCGGAUAGGAGCUCCUGCUGCAUGGUGGGGGUUGGAAAGUUUCGGCGGUUGGGGAUGGACUCGCGGCUUAUCAGCUUGUUGGUGGGGUAGUGGCUUACCAAGGCUUUGACGGGUAGCCGGCCUGAGAGGGUGACCGGCCACAUUGGGACUGAGAUACGGCCCAGACUCCUACGGGAGGCAGCAGUGGGGAAUAUUGCACAAUGGGCGGAAGCCUGAUGCAGCAACGCCGCGUGCGGGAUGACGGCCUUCGGGUUGUAAACCGCUUUCGCCUGUGACGAAGCGUGAGUGACGGUAAUGGGUAAAGAAGCACCGGCUAACUACGUGCCAGCAGCCGCGGUGAUACGUAGGGUGCGAGCGUUGUCCGGAUUUAUUGGGCGUAAAGGGCUCGUAGGUGGUUGAUCGCGUCGGAAGUGUAAUCUUGGGGCUUAACCCCUGAGCGUGCUUUCGAUACGGGUUGACUUGAGGAAGGUAGGGGAGAAUGGAAUUCCUGGUGGAGCGGUGGAAUGCGCAGAUAUCAGGAGGAACACCAGUGGCGAAGGCGGUUCUCUGGGCCUUUCCUGACGCUGAGGAGCGAAAGCGUGGGGAGCGAACAGGCUUAGAUACCCUGGUAGUCCACGCUGUAAACGGUGGGUACUAGGUGUGGGGUCCAUUCCACGGGUUCCGUGCCGUAGCUAACGCUUUAAGUACCCCGCCUGGGGAGUACGGCCGCAAGGCUAAAACUCAAAGGAAUUGACGGGGCCCCGCACAAGCGGCGGAGCAUGCGGAUUAAUUCGAUGCAACGCGUAGAACCUUACCUGGGUUUGACAUGGAUCGGGAGUGCUCAGAGAUGGGUGUGCCUCUUUUGGGGUCGGUUCACAGGUGGUGCAUGGCUGUCGUCAGCUCGUGUCGUGAGAUGUUGGGUUAAGUCCCGCAACGAGCGCAACCCUUGUUCACUGUUGCCAGCACGUUAUGGUGGGGACUCAGUGGAGACCGCCGGGGUCAACUCGGAGGAAGGUGGGGAUGACGUCAAGUCAUCAUGCCCCUUAUGUCCAGGGCUUCACGCAUGCUACAAUGGCUGGUACAGAGAGUGGCGAGCCUGUGAGGGUGAGCGAAUCUCGGAAAGCCGGUCUCAGUUCGGAUUGGGGUCUGCAACUCGACCUCAUGAAGUCGGAGUCGCUAGUAAUCGCAGAUCAGCAACGCUGCGGUGAAUACGUUCCCGGG